GACGAACGCUGGCGGCGUGCCUAAUACAUGCAAGUAGAACGCUGAAGGAGGAGCUUGCUUCUCUGGAUGAGUUGCGAACGGGUGAGUAACGCGUAGGUAACCUGCCUGGUAGCGGGGGAUAACUAUUGGAAACGAUAGCUAUUACCGCAUAAGAGUAGAUGAUGCAUGACAUUUGCUUAAAAGAUGCAAUUUCAUAACUACCAGAUGGACCUGCGUUGUAUUAGCUAGUUGGUGGGGUAACGGCUCACCAAGGCGACGAUACAUAGCCGACCUGAGAGGGUGAUCGGCCACACUGGGACUGAGACACGGCCCAGACUCCUACGGGAGGCAGCAGUAGGGAAUCUUCGGCAAUGGACGGAAGUCUGACCGAGCAACGCCGCGUGAGUGAAGAAGGUUUUCGGAUCGUAAAGCUCUGUUGUAAGAGAAGAACGAGUGUGAGAGUGGAAAGUUCACACUGUGACGGUAACUUACCAGAAAGGGACGGCUAACUACGUG
This 495-nucleotide ribosomal RNA is filed under the name uncultured bacterium. RNAcentral describes it as "partial 16S ribosomal RNA". It matches the Rfam family "Bacterial small subunit ribosomal RNA", at positions 28 to 507 of the family's 1533-position model. The record is from RNAcentral.